UAGUGACGUAAAGCGGCCAUUUUGGUAUCGCGGGCUUACGAUAAGGUCUCCAGUACUCAUCUUCUUCACUAAACUAAAGUAUUGUCGUCAAAGUCUGUUUCUCAAGUUUUAAGAUGAAUUUCCGUCAGGAAUUUUCGUAAAGAAUUCAAUUCUUCUGUUUCAGUAUCCUGAUUUUACUUUAUGUUGCUGAGUGGAUGAUUGAUUCUUCUUGUUGUACACUCGGCCUCGAUCGUCUUGUCUUGCUUGUCAAGUCUGCCAACCAAGUCAGAAAAGUGUCACAGCUGUGCGCAUGUAGGUAGAGACAUAACAUUAAAAUACGCAGGGAUUCAAGAAAUUGCUCAAAUUGGGAUUAUAAUUGCAACAACUGUUAAAACGAUAUGUGAAAGCGUUAGUAUGUAUCAAACCGCUUAACAGACUGCAGAAAUUACCUCCGACAGGAUCAUCAGCUCUUUUACAUUGUCGUCAGUUGAUUGAACUGUUAACAGAGGGACUACACAGCGAAGAUUAAUGAGUUCUACUCUGUUUUCCAAAAUGGAUUCCAAGCCAUUCGUUCCUGAUGGUACGGAACCUCUACAUGACAGUCAAGAAAAGCUUUCUUCAUUGCCAGUUCCCAAAGCUACAAUAGAUGCCAUUGCAUAUAUUGACAAAAUAGAUGAAGAUGAAAUUGACAAUGUUCUUUUCACCGAUUCUUUGGUGACAACCUCUGACACAGGCAAGGAGUUAGGAGAGUUUACAGUGAGUAUUGAACGUGCCCGAUACAACAGUAAAGAUUGCUUCCUGAUUCAUGCCAAUAGCCAUGGUGCCAUUGAUAAUGUACCGAUGGGAACCUCUAUAACAGCAUAUGUAUCUAAGACACUAGAAACAUUAGAGCAACAGCAUCAUGAAUAUGUAAAGCUAGAAGAACAACAUCUUGACAAGAAGACAUUCAUUGUAAUGAACGAAGACAAAUAUAUUGUUAAUAGAAUAAUUACACAAGGAGAGCAAGUGUUUAGGCAUGUUGAGACUUACAGUUCAGAGACCAUGCAUGGAUUCAUCUCUGAAGGUUCAAAUUUGUUAGUACAAAGACUAAUGGUUAAGAAGGGCAUUCCAGAACAUUGUAAAUUCAUUUCAUUUGAUUCAGAGGCUAAGCUGUGUCAUGCAUCUUAUAGAAGCUUAGAGGAUCAUUCACAAAUGAUUGGAGAUACUGAAGUGACAGUAACAGGAAUUGAAAGAACCAUAAAAUCAUUGUCGGACCUUCCUACAACGUGGCAAACCUAUUUCCUACGUGAUGGGAGGAUGAGCAGUAGAGUUCAGAUUGGUUCUCCUGUCACAAUGCGACUUCUUCGUGUUCCUCCUCCACUAGAGAAGGAAGAGGUUCGAGAAAAACCUGCUGUUGCCAAGAAACCGUUGCAUUGGGAAGAUGAUAUGCAACUUUAUUCCAAAUUCCUUGACAGAAAGGAAGAAUUGAAGGGGGAUCAUGCCACAUAUAUGAGACACCACCCUGAGCUUAAGGCACUUCUUGCUGAUUUUCUCCAAUUUCUACUUCUCCGCAAACCCGAAAAUAUCGUAGCUUUUGCUUCUGACUACUUUUCCGCGUUCUCUCCAUCAACCAAAGAGGGCAAUCCUUAUGCCACAUCUGGUGAGGCCCGUUACAUUCCACGCCCGGAAUCUCCUUUCAAGCGCACAUCAUCAUCGGGAUUCCCCUCCUAGUUUACAAAAAGUAUAAACCAACAGAAAAAGAAAAGAAUAAAUACAAAAUUAUACCAAGUUUAUUUUGAUUAUAAUUACUUGAUCUGUUUUAUCUGUUCUUUUAGAGUGCAAUUAAUAUUUGAUUAAUUAAUAAUUAAUUGAACCACUCUAUAUAUAUAGACAUUUCUUGCAUGAUGAAUGUAUAAUGAUGUAGUGUUAUGUUCCUAUUGAAUAUCUUACUGUACAUGCUUUAGGUAAGAAACACAACUAUUUGCCUUCCAUGUUACAAUCUUGUGUCCUACCUUUACCUCAGAUUCAGAAUACAGCUUGCAUGAAAAUUGUAUUAAUAAGUCUUUCAGGCUUUGAAGAGGCUCAUGAUCUUCUUGUUAAUUUCUUUUGUUCAAGUCGCAUUUGUUUCACAGUUCUCUUAAGAAGUAUAUUUUUGUUGUUCAUAUUCCAAAUUCUCUGCUUCAGAAUUCAAGGAACAAGAAUUUGAAAACUGAAAAGAAAAUGUAAUUUUUAUAUGCAGCGUUUAUUUAGCCGGUAGUGUGCCUAUUCAUUUACAAAGCAUUUUUGUGAUGAUUAGUGAGGGGUGCACUCCAACCCUACCGUUAAGUAUAGGCAAAUUCAAGUUUUAGAUAGCAGAAUAAGCACUUUGUUUUUAUUAAGUAAUUUCUUCUUAUGGAAUAACGAUUGUGUCUUUCAUAGUAGUGAUUUUAUGGCAGUGAAAUUAGGAUAUUUCUUUGUAUUUCUAAGCAUUAGGGAUGUUUACAAAACAUGUACCUUCUAAGAAACGAGUUAUUUUGCAACUCCUGCUUAGCAACAGCCAAUUGUAGAGAAACAUAGGUUGAGUAGGCAAGCCCUGUUUAUUAAGCAUCUCUUUCUGAUUGGUCAGUUGUUCUCUUUAAUAGACCUAGGUUUAGAACCUGAAUUUCUUAAUAGUUGACUAUUCACAGGUCAAAAUAUUCACUUAAACCAUCCGUAGUGUUAACAAAUGUUAUAUUUGAUGCUGUUUUUCUUCAAAUUUAGUUUUUCAUCUAGGCUUAUAUUCUAACUUUAUGGUAAUAUUAUGGUAUCAACACUUUUUAAAGCAAAAUAGAGUUUGUCUUAUGUAUCGAAUGAUAUGGGAAUAUCGACAAUUUGGUAUCCGGUGCAAAAAAACUUGUUUUGUGAUGUGAUGUAAAGUGUUCUGAAGAAAUGUUAUAGUGUUGCCAAAAAUAAGUUAAUUAUAAGUACACAAAUAUUUUAUAUAUAUAUUUAUAAACAAAUAGUUGAUUGUACUGAUGGAAACACCGUGCUGAAAUACAGAAACAAAUGAUGUUAUGUUAAGCCAGGCAUUCACUGCACACGACGGUCUAGGCCGGCGCGAUUCUGUGAAGAACGCAACGCGAUGACGCGUGUGCAACGGAUCAUUUUUAAUGACGAUCCGUUCAGAUUGCUGCCAACAUCAGCCGUGCGACGGUCGUACAAUGCAGGAAGUGCCUGGCAUACGUGUUGAGCAUAGCUCUUCAACUAAAAGUUCUUAUCAGUUGUGUGAAAAAGUGCUUCCAGCAGGUACUGUAAAUGGACCUGCGAAUUUUGCUUUUGAAUUUAGUGUCAUACUGUACCAUUAGACCACAAAGGCCUGUUGGUGUAUCGGAUCCAAUACAGGCAGAUUAUCCCCAUACACAACUGAUAUACGAUUCACUUAAUUGAGCCAAAAUUUUAGACCUCUACUGAUGGCAUAGAUUUAAAAUGUAUAACCUAUUACUCUGACGGCUAAAUGUUCUCAUAGUUAAAUAUAUUAAAUUAUAUUAUAUUAUAUUAAUGCAAGUUUGCAAGUCCUUUAACUUUCAUGUAAGUUGUGACUCACAGGACCAAAUUCAGAAAACAUCUUUUCAGCCUACAAGCAAGAGGAUAAAAUGGCAAGAGGGUCAACUCUUGGGUUUCCUUUGAAACUAAAUCCUAUCUCGAAAAUUACAACUACGACUUGGAGGGCAAUCUUCAAAAGAGAUGAUAUAACGUAAAAGUCGUUCGUAUCGUAUGGGCGCCUCCUAUCUUGUGGUAGUGCUGCAUUUUUUGUUCCAUUGCUUCCAUGCAAAAUUUGGACAGUGGCAUCUCUUGCCAUUUGAUACUGUUUGCUACAAGUAGCUCAGCAAUUAAAUUGAACCAAAAACCCUAAUACUGUAUAUUCAUGGUCCAAUACAUACACAAUGGCUACCACCGGUUAAGCAGACUAACGUAGACUGAUCCAGAAUACUGUAGUUCUAGUUUUUUUAACCCUUGUACUAUUUAGUGAUUAUUAAAAUUUUAGAUGCCAUUUAAUGUAUUAUUAUUUAACAUUAUAAAGUCAAUUUUGUAUUUAUUUAUUUAUGAUGCUAUGAUAAUACAAUACAUUUGAGUCCCAAUAAAAAGUUUUGUAAAAAGUUACAUGAUAUACUGUAAUUAGAUUGGGAGAUGUGAACAAAAUUGCAAAUGCAUUAUCUUAUUUUUCUAUUUUCUCCCUCAUACUGUGCUUUCAAUUCAAAAUUUAAAUGUAUUGCCCAAAUUUAAAGAAUAAAUUAUUAUGGAAAUGAAAAUUGUCUCAAUAUGUAUUUAAAAUGUAUGGGAGAAUUUUUCGUAUUCUCAUAGACCCUAGUGUUUUCUUGUACAGAUCUACGAAUCAACUGUGUACAUACGUGUAUAGACAAGCACUUGCAUUUUACAUUAGUAGUUUUGUAGUUGCAUAAAUUGAUGAAUUUGUUGUAAAUAAAUAUGCUAUCUUAUUUAUUUUUUUGUAUGAUUAUCACACAGAGCUAUAAUAAAUGUGGAAGAAUGGAAGAUAGGUUAAGAUAGAAAUCUUACACUUUUUUAGACAAAUGUUGUUUUGUUGACCGGAAUAUCAACAUAUUUGUGAGGUGUUGUCGAAGAAAGCAUUAUUGAUGAAGAUCACAUAUAUUUCGUCUUUGAUUUAAUCAGUUGUUCCUAGGUUGAUUAUGAGUAAAAUAGUUUGUAAAUUCAUAUGUCUAAAAUUAUAUGUCUAUUUUAUGAAUGCUUUAAACCAACUAACUGCCUUCAUUACCGAAAUGAAUCACCCCUUUGAAACAAAUACAACAGUCCAUCCCAGUGUAAAAGGUGCUUUUAAUUCAAUCAAUGUUGAAUAGGGAAUGAGGACUUGUUUGAACUGCCUUCAUUACCGAAAUGAAUCACCCCUUUGAAACAAAUACAACAGUCCAUCCCAGUGUAAAAGGUGCUUUUAAUUCAAUCAAUGUUGAAUAGGGAAUGAGGACUUGUUUGGGAGACGGUUCGUACAUGAUGUGUUUGGACAGACUGUUCUAUUUUGUUUCAAAGGGUUGUUACAUUUUAAAAACAAUAGCAAUUAUUUGAUUUAUUCAGGUAAAAAUCUCACUCGUAGAGUACCAACAUCACGGUUGAUUUGUGUAUAUAAUAAGAAAGUUACAACUAACUUGCUUUGCUAUUGUGAAAUCCCAGAGAAACUAAUUUGUCAAAACAUACAGUCAUAUUUUCUUGAAUGUGUUAUAAUGACCUAGCAUACGAUACUACUCAUUUUGUCACAAUACCUCACAUUUUGUCUACAGUUUGUUAACAAGUAUUGUAGGGAUGCUCUCAGUUGCACUCUGAAACAUAAGUAAUAAUAAUUAUGUCAAAUUCAUAUAAUAGCGGAAGAUGCACAAAAUAUUUUCAAGGCUUUGUCUUGAUGCAAAAGAUUCAUAGCUAAUGUGGGUAGAAGUUCAUUCCGAAUCUUUGGAGCAAUGGUAAAAAAUGGUAACCUCUCAAAUCCCACUGAUUGAGCAUUUAUGUUAAUAAUUAUAGUGUAGUUUUAUAUAGCGCACAAAUCCAUCUAAUGUAAGAUGCUCAGGACGCUUGAAAUGUGGACUAGGAACUCGAUCAAUGUUCUAUAAUACCUGAUUCAUGUCAUAUGUUCUGUAGAUUGGAUUUGGAGGAAUAAUACAGUAUAUGAAUUUGUAUCCAAAACAACAGAGAAAAAAGUGUUACACAUCCCAUGCUACAGAUAUUUUACAUUGCAUCCAUUAUGUAAGAUUGGUAGGCAUCCUGUGUAAUAUUCUUGUAAGAAAAACAUGUAUACAUUACAGAGGCAGAGCCGUAGAUAGAGAGAGUUUGGCCAACUUGGCACAUGGACGCCGUGUCGUUGCCAAACAGCCCAAGCGCAUGCGCGCGUAUAACUUUAAUGUUUUGUUUUGGUGACAACAUGGCCGAUGUAAGUCAUGUGAUUGCGAUCCACCCAAUCACACGCGUGUAUAUCGAAUCCCGUGAAACAGAGUUGGCCAAACUCUCUCUAUCUACGGCUCUGUACAGAGGCCUGUAACACCGCCAAGGUAUCUCGUACAGAAUGUAUCUGUACGCAUGCUCACAGGAUGCAACUUAUCUUUUAUGUUGCAUCACUUACAUCUGUAUUGCCAGUGUGUAAACUGUACCAUGUUUAGCAAGGUUUACAUUGAUGUUGUUAAGAUGAUGGUAAUUUGGGUAGAAAUACCCUGAGAGGUCCUUGUAAAAUUUAGCAAAUAAUUAAAUCUCUUUUUUUUUCUUUUGUGAAAAGGGGGUGUAUGAUUGUCAUGAUGUCAAAUAUAUUCAUAGUUGGCAGUUAACAUGUUUCAUAAAUUGUUCUUGACUAGGUGAUACUGUAUAGCCUAAUUUCUAAACAAAAGUUUAUAUUAAAAUUGUUAAUUGUUUAGAUUUUUUGUCAGCAUCAAACUAACGCAGCCUACCUGUUACUGUAAUGCUCUCGAAAGCUUGUUUAGCUAUUUUAAAUCUGUAUGAAAUUUGUACGCUUACUUAAAACAAAAAGCAUUAUUAAAUAUAAAUAACAAAACUA
Molecule: unclassified non-coding RNA, 6481 nt
Filed under: Anneissia japonica
Lineage: Eukaryota; Metazoa; Echinodermata; Crinoidea; Comatulida; Comatulidae
Description: ciliogenesis-associated TTC17-interacting protein- like, transcript variant X1
Source: RNAcentral